RNAcentral lists this transfer RNA (83 nucleotides) under Schistocephalus solidus. It matches the Rfam family "tRNA". From Rfam's summary of the family: Transfer RNA (tRNA) molecules are approximately 80 nucleotides in length. Their secondary structure includes four short double-helical elements and three loops (D, anti-codon, and T loops). Lineage: Eukaryota; Metazoa; Platyhelminthes; Cestoda; Diphyllobothriidea; Diphyllobothriidae. The record is from Rfam by way of RNAcentral.
GGCGUCGUAGCUCACUUGGCUAGAGCGUUGGCUGUACUAAAGUUCACCCCUUGCUGGCGUGGGUUUGAAUCCCACCGAGGCCG